UGGGGAAUUUUGGACAAUGGGCGAAAGCCUGAUCUAGCAAUGCCGCGUGUGUGAAGAAGGCCUUCGGGUUGUAAAGCACUUUUGUCCGGAAAGAAAUCCUUGGCUCUAAUACAGUCGGGGGAUGACGGUACCGGAAGAAUAAGCACCGGCUAACUACGUGCCAGCAGCCGCGGUAAUACGUAGGGUGCAAGCGUUAAUCGGAAUUACUGGGCGUAAAGCGUGCGCAGGCGGUUUGCUAAGACCGAUGUGAAAUCCCCGGGCUCAACCUGGGAACUGCAUUGGUGACUGGCAGGCUAGAGUAUGGCAGAGGGGGGUAGAAUUCCACGUGUAGCAGUGAAAUGCGUAGAGAUGUGGAGGAAUACCGAUGGCGAAGGCAGCCCCCUGGGCCAAUACUGACGCUCAUGCACGAAAGCGUGGGGAGCAAACAGGAUUAGAUACCCUGGUAGUCCACGCCCUAAAACGAUGUCAACUAGUUGUUGGGGAUUCAUUUCCUUAGUAACGUAGCUAACGCGUGAAGUUGACCGCCUGGGGAGUACGGUCGCAAGAUUAAAACUCAAAUGAAUUGACGGGGUCAUAGCUGUUUCCU
Molecule: ribosomal RNA, 586 nt
Filed under: uncultured bacterium
Lineage: Bacteria
Description: partial 16S ribosomal RNA
Rfam family: Bacterial small subunit ribosomal RNA
Source: RNAcentral